Molecule: long non-coding RNA, 219 nt
Filed under: Eucalyptus grandis
Lineage: Eukaryota; Viridiplantae; Streptophyta; Magnoliopsida; Myrtales; Myrtaceae
Description: long non-coding RNA (EGRA_LNC003404)
Source: RNAcentral
GCCGAUGAUACAUCCUCGCUCUCACGAUUUCCGGUAAGUUUCCUUGCUGGAUUCGAGCCUCCCUUGGCCCCAACGAUCUGGGCCGGAGCUCGCGAUAUUGCGUGCCAGAUUUUUUGAGCUUCCGAGUUUUGUGCUCACCAUCGUCUCGAUCGGCGGUUUGCCGCUUGUGUGGCAGGUAACCAGGACAGUCGAAGUGAGGAACCUGUCAAAUCUUAGCCA